Molecule: long non-coding RNA, 854 nt
Filed under: Homo sapiens (human)
Lineage: Eukaryota; Metazoa; Chordata; Mammalia; Primates; Hominidae
Description: HSALNT0057410
Source: RNAcentral
GGAUUUUGUUUUUUUAUUUUGGUAGCCCUUUUUACUUACAGAACCAGACUAAAGCAGUACUAUUAUACUUUAACUAACUAUCUAUUUUUAUAUAGUUGGCUUGCCUACCCAGAUAUUAAUUUUAAGGGACAAGCUACAGUUCUGGAGGAAGACCAUGGGCUCUUUGAGAUUUCUACAGCAGAAAUGAAAUCAUUACAUCCGCUUCAAAUGGGUGGACUGAAAGUGGAAAUGCCCAUGAACUUAAAGGUAAGUCUUGGACUGAUUUUUGUAGCAGGCUAAAGAGUCUCAGGAUUAAUAUUUAUUCCAAUAAUUUUGAAACAUUGGAAUAAAAAGUACCUCCACAUAUGAUUAUACUUAGCUAAUGGAUUUUGGGGAGGUGGGAAGUGAAUGCACAAAAUGUUUGAUGAGGGCCCAACCCUAUGGCUGUGAAUGGAGAGUGGGAUCAGUCUGCAAAGAUGGAGGUCUGUACCAAUAAAUCAGUCAGACUCACUACAUUCUGCUACAGGGUGGAAAGGUGAUAGGUUUGAUUUUUGUUUUGAGGGAAGGGACUUGAGAAAGCAGCUAGUUAUUGAAGUGGAGAUAUCUAGCGGGCAUUUGGGAGUGAUGCUCAGGAACAUGAUCAAGGCUGAUCAAAAGGAAGUGUAGGUAGCUCUUAUCAGGUAGAUGGCAGUUUGUAAGUAUGAGUAUCCAAAGGGAAAAGUAGCGGCGAGGCAAUGAAAAUGGGUAGCAGUGGUGCCAGGAUCAAGCAAAUUCAGGGAAAGAAAGGAGGAAACAGAAUUACAAAGUAUGUUUAGAGAGAGAGAGAAGGCAAACCAGUACAGUGAUAAAAGAUGCAAACAGGCCUGCUUGUAAUU